This 438-nucleotide ribosomal RNA is filed under the name uncultured bacterium. RNAcentral describes it as "partial 16S ribosomal RNA". It matches the Rfam family "Bacterial small subunit ribosomal RNA", at positions 339 to 795 of the family's 1533-position model. The record is from RNAcentral.
CUACGGGAGGCAGCAGUGAGGAAUAUUGCACAAUGGGGGGAACCCUGAUGCAGCAACGCCGCGUGAGGAUGACGCAUUUCGGUGUGUAAACUCCUUUUAUAUGUCAAGAAAAUGACGGUAGCAUAUGAAUAAGCACCGGCUAACUCUGUGCCAGCAGCCGCGGUAAUACGGAGGGUGCAAGCGUUACUCGGAAUCACUGGGCGUAAAGGACGCGUAGGCGGGUUGGAAAGUCAGGUGUGAAAUCCUACAGCUUAACUGUAGAACUGCACUUGAAACUUCUAAUCUAGAGUAUGGGAGGGGGAGAUGGAAUUAGUGGUGUAGGGGUAAAAUCCGUAGAUAUCACUAGGAAUACCUAAAGCGAAGGCGAUCUCCUGGAACACUACUGACGCUAAGGCGUGAAAGCGUGGGGAGCAAACAGGAUUAGAUACCCUUGUAGUC